RNAcentral lists this ribosomal RNA (515 nucleotides) under Cladosporium cladosporioides. RNAcentral's name for it is "eukaryotic LSU rRNA". The stretch from base 148 to 301 matches the Rfam family "5.8S ribosomal RNA". The record is from RNAcentral. Lineage: Eukaryota; Fungi; Ascomycota; Dothideomycetes; Cladosporiales; Cladosporiaceae.
CCCGGUCUACCACCGGGAUGUUCAUAACCCUUUGUUGUCCGACUCUGUUGCCUCCGGGGCGACCCUGCCUUCGGGCGGGGGCUCCGGGUGGACACUUCAAACUCUUGCGUAACUUUGCAGUCUGAGUAAACUUAAUUAAUAAAUUAAAACUUUUAACAACGGAUCUCUUGGUUCUGGCAUCGAUGAAGAACGCAGCGAAAUGCGAUAAGUAAUGUGAAUUGCAGAAUUCAGUGAAUCAUCGAAUCUUUGAACGCACAUUGCGCCCCCUGGUAUUCCGGGGGGCAUGCCUGUUCGAGCGUCAUUUCACCACUCAAGCCUCGCUUGGUAUUGGGCAACGCGGUCCGCCGCGUGCCUCAAAUCGACCGGCUGGGUCUUCUGUCCCCUAAGCGUUGUGGAAACUAUUCGCUAAAGGGUGUUCGGGAGGCUACGCCGUAAAACAACCCCAUUUCUAAGGUUGACCUCGGAUCAGGUAGGGAUACCCGCUGAACUUAAGCAUAUCAUAAGNCGGGAGGAAA